This 253-nucleotide ribosomal RNA is filed under the name uncultured bacterium. RNAcentral describes it as "partial 16S ribosomal RNA". It matches the Rfam family "Bacterial small subunit ribosomal RNA", at positions 524 to 776 of the family's 1533-position model. The record is from RNAcentral.
UACGUAGGGUGCAAGCUUUAAUCGGAAUUACUGGGCGUAAAGCGUGCGCAGGCGGUGAUGUAAGACAGGUGUGAAAUCCCCGGGCUUAACCUGGGAACUGCAUUUGUGACUGCAUCGCUGGAGUGCGGCAGAGGGGGAUGGAAUUCCGCGUGUAGCAGUGAAAUGCGUAGAUAUGCGGAGGAACACCGAUGGCGAAGGCAAUCCCCUGGGCCUGCACUGACGCUCAUGCACGAAAGCGUGGGGAGCAAACAGG